This 433-nucleotide ribosomal RNA is filed under the name uncultured bacterium. RNAcentral's name for it is "partial 16S ribosomal RNA". It matches the Rfam family "Bacterial small subunit ribosomal RNA", at positions 29 to 507 of the family's 1533-position model. The record is from RNAcentral.
AACGAACGCUGGCGGCAUGCCUAACACAUGCAAGUCGAACGAGACCUUCGGGUCUAGUGGCGCACGGGUGCGUAACGCGUGGGAACCUGCCCUUAGGUUCGGAAUAACUCCCCGAAAGGGGUGCUAAUACCGGAUAAUGUCUUCGGACCAAAGAUUUAUCGCCUUUGGAUGGGCCCGCGUUGGAUUAGCUAGUUGGUAGGGUAAAAGCCUACCAAGGCGACGAUCCAUAGCUGGUCUGAGAGGAUGAUCAGCCACACUGGGACUGAGACACGGCCCAGACUCCUACGGGAGGCAGCAGUGGGGAAUAUUGGACAAGGGGCGAAAGCCUGAUCCAGCAAUGCCGCGUGAGUGAUGAAGGCCUUAGGGUUGUAAAGCUCAUUUACCCGGGAUGAUAAUGACAGUACCGGGAGAAUAAGCGCCGGCUAACUCCGUG